GAACGCUGGCGGCAUGCCUUACACAUGCAAGUCGAACGGCAGCACGGGAGCAAUCCUGGUGGCGAGUGGCGAACGGGUGAGUAAUGUAUCGGAACGUACCUUUCAGUGGGGAUAACGUAGCGAAAGUUACGCUAAUACCGCAUAUUCUGUGAGCAGGAAAGCAGGGGAUCGCAAGACCUUGCGCUGAUUGAGCGGCCGAUAUCAGAUUAGCUAGUUGGUGAGGUAAAGGCUCACCAAGGCGACGAUCUGUAGCGGGUCUGAGAGGAUGAUCCGCCACACUGGAACUGAGACACGGUCCAGACUCCUACGGGAGGCAGCAGUGGGGAAUUUUGGACAAUGGGCGCAAGCCUGAUCCAGCCAUGCCGCGUGAGUGAAGAAGGCCUUCGGGUUGUAAAGCUCUUUCAGCCGGGAAGAAAACGCAUGGGUUAAUACCCUGUGUGGAUGACGGUACCGGAAUAAGAAGCACCGGCUAACUACGUG
RNAcentral lists this ribosomal RNA (480 nucleotides) under uncultured bacterium. RNAcentral's name for it is "bacterial SSU rRNA". It matches the Rfam family "Bacterial small subunit ribosomal RNA", at positions 31 to 507 of the family's 1533-position model. The record is from RNAcentral.